AACUGAAGCAGGAAGUUAUCAGCACCAGCAGCAAGGCAGAACCACCCCAGUGCACCUCCCUGGCCUGGUCUGCUGAUGGCCAGACUCUAUUUGCUGGCUACACAGACAACCUGGUGCGAGUGUGGCAGGUGACCAUCGGCACCCGCUAGAAGUUUGUGGAACAGCUUUACAAAUUAAAGGAAAAAACUGGCUUUUUUGACUUUUA
Molecule: long non-coding RNA, 205 nt
Organism: Cebus imitator (Panamanian white-faced capuchin)
Lineage: Eukaryota; Metazoa; Chordata; Mammalia; Primates; Cebidae
Exons: 2
Source: RefSeq, a predicted model, not a curated record